CCUACGGUGUGCAGCAGUGAGGAAUAUUGGUCAAUGGGCGCGAGCCUGAACCAGCCAAGUAGCGUGAAGGAUGACGGCCCUACGGAUUGUAAACUUCUUUUAUAAAGGAAUAAAGUGAGGCACGUGUGCCUUUUUGUAUGUACUUUAUGAAUAAGGAUCGGCUAACUCCGUGCCAGCAGCCGCGGUAAUACGGAGGAUCCGAGCGUUAUCCGGAUUUAUUGGGUUUAAAGGGAGCGUAGAUGGGUUGUUAAGUCAGUUGUGAAAGUUUGCGGCUCAACCGUAAAAUUGCAAUUGAUACUGGCAGUCGGGAGUACAGUGGAGGUAGGCGGAAUGCGUGGUGUAGCGGUGAAAUGCAUAGAUAUCACGCAGAACCCCGAUUGCGAAGGCAGCAUACCGGCGCCCUACUGACGCUGAGGCACGAAAGUGCGGGUAUCGAACAGGAUUAGAUACCCCAGUAGUC
RNAcentral lists this ribosomal RNA (460 nucleotides) under uncultured bacterium. RNAcentral describes it as "partial 16S ribosomal RNA". It matches the Rfam family "Bacterial small subunit ribosomal RNA", at positions 338 to 795 of the family's 1533-position model. The record is from RNAcentral.